ACUAUUUUGGCAGACAAGUGCAAUUGAUUUAGAAUCUUUAUAUAUAGAUUUCUAUAAAUAGUA
RNAcentral lists this transfer RNA (63 nucleotides) under Anaplecta omei. Its description in RNAcentral is "tRNA-Leu". Lineage: Eukaryota; Metazoa; Arthropoda; Insecta; Blattodea; Anaplectidae. The record is from RNAcentral. RNAcentral also lists the same sequence under 3 other names.